UACGUAGGGUGCAAGCGUUGUCCGGAAUUAUUGGGCGUAAAGAGCUCGUAGGCGGUCUGUCGCGUCGGCUGUGAAAUCCCGAGGCUCAACCUCGGGUCUGCAGUCGAUACGGGCAAACUAGAGUAUUGCAGGGGAGACUGGAAUUCCUGGUGUAGUGGUGAAAUGCGCAGAUAUCAGGAGGAACACCGGUGGCGAAGGCGGGUCUCUGGGCAAUAACUGACGCUGAGGAGCGAAAGCGUGGGGAGCAAACAGG
Molecule: ribosomal RNA, 253 nt
Filed under: uncultured bacterium
Lineage: Bacteria
Description: partial 16S ribosomal RNA
Rfam family: Bacterial small subunit ribosomal RNA
Source: RNAcentral